RNAcentral lists this unclassified non-coding RNA (2138 nucleotides) under Hevea brasiliensis (rubber tree). Lineage: Eukaryota; Viridiplantae; Streptophyta; Magnoliopsida; Malpighiales; Euphorbiaceae. The record is from RNAcentral.
GUCCACAUCAACCUUUCUUUCCUCUGACUUUGUAGAAAGCAAAGCUUUCCUCUUUUCUUCGCGAAUUUUCUCAUACUCUUCCAGAGUCAUCUCCUAUCAGAUAAAACAAAAAUCAAUUACUUGCAUACCAAACAUUAGCACAGAAUAGGAAAUAUACACAACUGUUUUUUAAAAAAUUUACAAUUAGGAGGAAAAAUCAUACUGCGCAAUUGUAUUUUUAAACAACAGCACAAUUAUGCCCCAGGCAGACUGAAGAGUUUAAUCAAUUAGAUCAUUCAACCACAGCAAAACAAAGUAUCCAAAUGUAGUAUAACUCAAAUUUACAUUCAGUAACCUUUAUCAACACAUUAUAACAUGCAUAUCAGAGUAAAACAACAUCUGUUACUCCGCUCAGAAUACUAAAUCCUCAUUCAUAGUUUCAUAACCAAUAUGCAAUAGUAAGUAAUCAAUUUCCUUCAUUUUUUGUCAUGAUCCUGUCUGUAUGAACUUUAUAUCUUUAUUCACACAAAAUCCACAUUAUAACCAAAAGGCAAUAGUAAAUAGUAAAUUUCCUUCACUUUUUGUCAUGAUCCAGCAUGUAUGAACUUUAUAUCCUUUGAUAUAAAAAUAUGUAUGCAUCUAUAAAAUAAUAAUAAUAGGCACAAUAAGAAAAAAAUUAUCUAAGAGACAAGAAACAAAAGCUUGAAGAAAAUGCUUCCGUGUUACACCACGACAAAAGCUAGAUCCAACAAAAAAAAAAUUUCAAAUAAGCAGCAAGACAAUUCAAAUAUGAAACCCCAGCUUCACCAUCCACCCAUUUAGUACAUUUUGACCCCCGACCAAGGAGACAUAAAAAGUCUGUUCAACUUCUGUAAUAUCAUACCCAAAUUCACUGAAUCCUGGAAUCAAGAAAAGCACUAUAACCUACCUCUGACCAAUCCGUCUUUACUUUAGCUGAUAACUGUCCACUUAAUAUUAUGGUAUAGUACUAUGGACAUCAAGAAAAUCAAAAUAACAAUUGAAAUAAUUUAAAAUUUUCUUGAAAUAUGACUCAAAAGUAAAUUUCAGGAAAUAAACACAAAACAAGGUCCAGAAAAGAAACUGUACCUUGUUCUCGGGUUCCUUCUCUUCAGGCUGAUCUACAGGACUGUCCUUGUUGGCAUCUGCAGCAUCCUCCUCUCCUGGCUGUUUCUCAGAACUAAUGUCCUUUUCAUUUUCAACCACAGGUUCUUCAGUUUCCUGAGCAAUUUCAUCAGUGGGAGUUCCCCAAUUACCACGACCAGCUCCAUCACGUUUGACCUCAUUGCCACGACCAGUACCACUGCGACGUUCAUACAACCUACGAGGGCGUUCACCCUCUCCAGCUUCCCCAUUGCUCAAACCACCCCGGCGGCCACCACGGAAGCCACCAUGAGGGCCUCCAUAGCCACGCUUCUCAGAUGGCUUCCCAGUGUCACCCUCUUCAGACGGUCUGUACCCUCUAGAAAAUCCAUUGUUGCUGCCAAAGGUAGUCUCAUUGUUAUUUGAAUCUCGAUUAAAUCCACUGCUACCUCCACACCCACGACUAGAGCCCUGUCCACCACCUGGGCCCCCUCCACAUCCACCUUCAUUCCUUGCUUCUGUCACAUCCUGGGUCGGAGGAGGUGGCUUGGUCGGAAAGCAGCCUUAGCAAGUUGAACGUGAGCUUGAGGUUGGGCAAGAGCCAAGGGCUUCUUAAGCUUCUCAGUCUUAAGCUGACCAGAGACAAUGAGCUAAGCAGGGUCCUCAUUGUCAUCGUCGCCUAGGAGAUCGAAAGCGUUCAUGGUUGCCAUUUCUUUAGAUAGUUGGAUAAAUAAGCAGAAGCUUAAUACCGUUCAUUUUUAACUUUAACAGCAACCACGAGCCCUCUAAUGCUUGUUUAAACCCAUGAGUGAUGAACCUAUCUAAGAUUGAUAGGAUAUUGUUGGAAUGGUAUUGGAUAAAGCUUGUUUGGGAGGUGAGAAAAUGGAAAAGAGGUGAUGGGAGAAAACGAAAGAGAAAGGAAAGAGUUUUAAGGAAGACUGAAAACCCUAGCCAAUGCGGCAAAGAAAUAAAAAUGAGCAUCAACCUAAUCUCAAAAACCCUACUAAAAAAGUUUACUGUAAGUGAGGGUGCAUCGUAAGAUAUGUGGCACCAUUUAG